This 503-nucleotide ribosomal RNA is filed under the name uncultured bacterium. Its description in RNAcentral is "partial 16S ribosomal RNA". It matches the Rfam family "Bacterial small subunit ribosomal RNA", at positions 30 to 523 of the family's 1533-position model. The record is from RNAcentral.
AUUGAACGCUGGCGGCAGGCUUAACACAUGCAAGUCGAGCGGGGUGAUGGUGCUUGCACUAUCACUUAGCGGCGGACGGGUGAGUAAUGCUUAGGAAUCUGCCUAUUAGUGGGGGACAACAUCUCGAAAGGGAUGCUAAUACCGCAUACGUCCUACGGGAGAAAGCAGGGGAUCACUUGUGACCUUGCGCUAAUAGAUGAGCCUCAGUCGGAUUAGCUAGUUGGUGGGGUAAAGGCCUACCAAGGCGACGAUCUGUAGCGGGUCUGAGAGGAUGAUCCGCCACACUGGGACUGAGACACGGACCAGACUCCUACGGGAGGCAGCAGUGGGGAAUAUUGGACGAUGGGGGGAACCCUGAUCCAGCCAUGCCGCGUGUGUGAAGAAGGCCUUAUGGUUGUAAAGCACUUUAAGCGAGGAGGAGGCUCUUUUGGUUAAUACCCAAGAUGAGUGGACGUUACUCGCAGAAUAAGCACCGGCUAACUCUGUGCCAGCAGCCGCGGUAA